Molecule: unclassified non-coding RNA, 246 nt
Filed under: Hevea brasiliensis (rubber tree)
Lineage: Eukaryota; Viridiplantae; Streptophyta; Magnoliopsida; Malpighiales; Euphorbiaceae
Source: RNAcentral
AAUUAAAAGAACUGGACAAAAUUGGAAAUCUGUGUGAAGGUUUGGAGUUGAUCACAAAGUAUGUUUCCUCCUAUCCAUGAAUUGGCCAACAAAUUUAUGCGUGCAAUUGUUUAAUGAAAAAUUAUUGAUCUAUUCUUAUAAGCUGCUAAUGUGUGCACAACAAAUAAUUCAACUCCAUAACAUGUUGUACACCUCACGAGGCAGAUUUUCUUUAAGUGAUGAUAAUGGAAAUUGUGAAUGGCAGAU